GUUGUGGUUCCUCAGAUUUCCGAUUCAAGUUUGGCAUCUGAUUAUGGUUGUGGUUAGUUUGAGUUCCGGUUUGAGUCUGACAUUUGAUUAUGAUUUCCAUUUUAUAUUAUAUAUGUGGCAUCUCAUUAUUGCCCACUAUGUCCGAUUCGAAUCCGGCACGUGUCCUCUUGUUAUUAUCCAUCACUUUCGGUUCAAGUUAGGUAUCUGGACUCUCAUUACUACUCAUUGGUUCUGGUUCAAGUCCGGCG
This 248-nucleotide long non-coding RNA is filed under the name Capsicum annuum. RNAcentral describes it as "long non-coding RNA (CANN_LNC019519)". Lineage: Eukaryota; Viridiplantae; Streptophyta; Magnoliopsida; Solanales; Solanaceae. The record is from RNAcentral.